This 468-nucleotide ribosomal RNA is filed under the name uncultured bacterium. RNAcentral describes it as "partial 16S ribosomal RNA". It matches the Rfam family "Bacterial small subunit ribosomal RNA", at positions 28 to 507 of the family's 1533-position model. The record is from RNAcentral.
GACGAACGCUGGCGGCGUGCUUAACACAUGCAAGUCGAACGGAAAGGCCCUGCUUUUGUGGGGUGCUCGAGUGGCGAACGGGUGAGUAACACGUGAGUAACCUGCCCUUGACUUUGGGAUAACUUCAGGAAACUGGGGCUAAUACCGGAUAGGAGCUCCUGCUGCAUGGUGGGGGUUGGAAAGUUUCGGCGGUUGGGGAUGGACUCGCGGGUUAUGAGCUUGUUGGUGGGGUAGUGGCGUACCAAGGCUUUGACGGGUAGCCCGCCUGAGAGGGUGACCGGCCACAUUGGGACUGAGAUACGGAGCAGACUGCUACGGGACGCAGAAGUGGGGAGUAUGGCGCAGUGGGCGGGAGCCAGAUGCAGAAACGCCGCGAGCGGGAUGACGGCCUUCGAGUGGUAAACCGCUUUCGCCUGUGACGAAGCGGGAGUGACGGUAAUGGGUAAAGAAGCACCGGCUAACUACGUG